GUAGAGGCCUCCCAUUGGGGUGCGAACCCCGCUGCAAUUAUUAACAGCCCCACGACUUAGGGCUCCAUUAACUGGUUUAAUUGAAGACAAAACUUUGAAGUGUAACCUCACAGGUAGUUUGUGAAUGAAGAAAGUGGAUGGAAAAAUGUGAAGAUAUUCUUACAAAUCAUUGCCAUAAUAAAUAGUUUUACUCAUUUUGCAACAAAGAGUAAAAUGGCAAUGAGAAAAAUAAAAUGGAUGAAAUGUGGACUCGUCUAAAAACUGCAAUGAGCGAUGCAGCAAAGGAAACAUUAGGAAAAUAAACAACAAAAAAGAGUUGAGUGGUUUGAUAACGAAUACAGGGUAGCAAUUAAUAUUAAGAACGAAGUAUAUAGAAAGUAUAUCGCGAUCAAACCCGAGAAAGGAAAGAAAUCUUUAAAGAGGAGCAUCGCAAAGCAGACAAAAUAUGUUGAUAGAAGAAGAGAAAAUAUGAAAAGGAGCAAAUACUUAAAAAAAAGGAAAUUUCAAAUAUAAAUAUAAAUAAUCAGCGAUUUGGAAGAUCAGAACGCGAGAAGCAGAAAUUGUGUAUGAAAGAAACGAGGAGAACAUGGAUGGACAUGAAACUGAAGAGGAGACCACGACAGCACCAAUAAUUACAGAAGUAAAAGCUAAAAUUUUUUCCCCUCUGCGGCGUCACCUCUACUAACAACAGGUUAAUUCCUACUAUAUUUUUAGAUUGGCAACAAAGCAUAAGAUACAGAAUCUGAGAAGAUAAUCAAAAAAUGGAAAGACCAAUAAACUUAAAGGUCUGAAUACCAUUAUUGUUUUAUUGUCUUUCACUUGGUCCAAAGGUUCAACUUCACUGCCGUGCCAAAAAAUUACACUUCAUCAUCUGAAGCUCUGUGGAAUUCUUUCGAAUUCCUGCUUUGGAAUUUUCUGGAAAGGUGCACAUUCAAGAAAAAAACUUUAACAUAAUGGCUUUUGGUAGUUUGUCAGACUUAUCAUACUACUGUUAUACUUGGUGGGACACUACACGAAUCAAACUGACCUGUAACACCAUUAUGGAGUAAAAACUCCAAAAAUAGUUGUAUGCAGAAAGUAUUUUAUUAUGGUAUGACAAAUUUAUUGAACACGAACAUUAAGUUGUCAUCAUCAAAGCUUGAGUCUUCGUUAUCUUCAACAUUCUGUCAGAGUGCAAAAUGAUAUUUCUUGUAGAUGGUAUUCACAUUAAUCAAAAAAUGUCACUUGAAAAAAUUAGGACAGCUUUAAACAAACACUGCCAUUUUCGAUCAUCAAAAAAUGUUACUUGAAAAUGUAAACCUAGAACGGACAGAAGAUAGAUAACAAACAAGAAUCCUCUACGUCAUUUUCCAGCACAACUUCAAACUACCACGGCCGUUUUCGAAGACAUCGGCCGCCCCUGGCCAUCGAGGGCGUUCCGCACUCUUUUCGCUCCGCCGAUAUGCAUUAAUAUAUUAAUAUACAGGGUGGUUACAUACAUACAUGAAAAUCACAAUUAAUUGGUGUUAUUUAGUUAGUAGUAGAUCCUAGUAAGUGCAUAACUUCCAUAGCAAGCUAUAAAGAAAAAAAAUAUUUAAUAAUAGCUGUGCUUUACAGUACAAGGUAGCAUAUUUUAUUUUUUUGGGCUAAUACUAUUAACUUUAAGGAAAAAACU
This is a long non-coding RNA of Onthophagus taurus, 1654 nucleotides long. RefSeq lists it as uncharacterized. Lineage: Eukaryota; Metazoa; Arthropoda; Insecta; Coleoptera; Scarabaeidae. The record is from RefSeq and is a predicted model, not a curated record.